UGGGGAAUAUUGCACAAUGGAGGGAACUCUGAUGCAGCGACGCCGCGUGAACGAAGAAGGCUUUCGAGUCGUAAAGUUCUUUUAUAUGGGAAGAUAAUGACGGUACCAUAAGAAGAAGCCCCGGCUAACUACGUGCCAGCAGCCGCGGUAAUACGUAGGGGGCUAGCGUUGUCCGGAAUCACUGGGCGUAAAGGGUUCGCAGGCGGAAAUGCAAGUCAGGUGUAAAAGGCAGUAGCUUAACUACUGUAAGCAUUUGAAACUGCAUAUCUUGAGAAGAGUAGAGGUAAGUGGGAUUUUUAGUGUAGCGGUGAAAUGCGUAGAUAUUAAAAAGAAUACCGGUGGCGAAGGCGACUUACUGGGCUCAUUCUGACGCUGAGGAACGAAAGCGUGGGUAGCAAACAGG
RNAcentral lists this ribosomal RNA (403 nucleotides) under bacterium. Its description in RNAcentral is "partial 16S ribosomal RNA". It matches the Rfam family "Bacterial small subunit ribosomal RNA", at positions 355 to 776 of the family's 1533-position model. The record is from RNAcentral.